Erpetoichthys calabaricus (reedfish) is the source of this 2696-nucleotide long non-coding RNA. RefSeq lists it as uncharacterized. Lineage: Eukaryota; Metazoa; Chordata; Cladistia; Polypteriformes; Polypteridae. The record is from RefSeq and is a predicted model, not a curated record. The transcript is spliced from 3 exons.
AGAAGGAAAAGGAGAAGCAGACACUACCAAAAAAAGCAAGAGGGAAAGCUACUUAAUUUGAUGGGACAAAGACAGGUGAACCCGGGUUCAUUUCUGUGAGAAUCACAAAGUCAUUCGGGAGAGGACCUGACGGGCCAGCAUAAGGGAUUGUGUAACAUUACGUUUCCCAGAACAGGAGGUAUGGCUCAGUGUGUCCUUCGCCAUUACAAACUGUAAAUAAUCAUGUUUACCAGUGAAUAUUUAAAGGACACUGGUUUCAUUAAUUUGUUUUUCACAUUUGUUUAUUAGUGGUGUAUGUUGUUAAUUAUUUUGUUUUGUGAUUUGUGUGUGUGUGUGUGUGGGGGGGGGUAUUGAAGUGCUGCAUGGUGGUAUUAUGUGUACAGGGGUUUGUUUGUUGUGUCCAAUAAUAAUUCUUUUGUAACUCAACUUUGUUUUUGCUGGUGUGCUUCUGUACUUGUGGUGGUCUAAUAGGAAAGUAGUGUUGGUCGCUAGCGCCCCGGAUCAUUUCUUUAUUUUUUUUCUUUCUCCUUGUUGCUGCUCUAGGGCAGCAGUGUAUGUUAUAAACCCCAAUGACUCUCAUAGCUGUUUUAAUUGUGCAUUACAGUUGAACAUCUUGGCCUUAAAUUUACCUGGCUCUGCUGCUCUUGUUAAGAUUCUCAGGUGUUGUGACAUUGCGGCUAUAGUUUACUUGCGAGGUCUAUUUAUGUAUCCUGCACCACAACACUCUGCUGUGACAUUAGUAAAUAUCAGCUGCUGUGAUAAUGGCUCCUUUUGGGUUCUUUCAUGUAUCUUUUGUUAUUACUGUUACAGAUUGUUUUACUGUUUAGAAUCUAGGCCUUCUUUGGAAAUUUGUCUCCCUCAUUCAUUUAUACCUUUUGAACUGCUCUUUUGAUUUUUGGUAACUACUAUCAAUCCAUCCAUUUUCCAACCUGCUGAAUCCGAACACAGGGUCACGGGGGUCUGCUGGAGCCAAUCCCAGCCAACACAGGGCACAAGGCAGGAACCAAUCCAGGGCAGGGUGCCAACCCACCGCAGUGGAGGAAACAACAAAAGCAUACAAUCAGGGAUGUGCAUAUGAUAUUAUUUGCAUGGAUUUUCAGAAGCAUUUUGAUAAAACACCACAUGAGAGGCUACUGAUCAGAAUAAAAGAAGUUGCAAUUCAUUGUGCAGAUCCAGAAACCAGCUGCCCUGGCUCGGCAGUAAACAGAUGACUAAUUUUUUCAGAUUAACUGGAAGAUGCAUGCAAAAGGUAAAACAAAACAUAUAAAAUAUAAAUGAAAUGAACGAAACUAAGAUGAGAGGCAAGAGUCACAGUUAAAAAUCAGGCAACAAGUCAAAACCAGGUAAGACACAAAUAUCAAUAACAAGAGAGCUCUUUUAGAAUUUAAAGCCUAAAGCAAUUUUCCUUUAGCUACGCUCUCCUUCUCAGGGGUGGGGUUUGAUUAGUCUUCAAAUUUGUUGGGUUAUAAAUCGAUCUGUUUGUAUGGAAUGAUUACAAUGAAAAUUAAUAAAAUAAAAAUAUUAAUAAUAAAGAAUUUAAAGGAUUUAUCCACAGAUCAGAUAACGCUUGGUGCAAACCUUUAAAUCUGUUCUUCUGUUAGACUGAAGGUCUUGACCCCAGAGACCACACCCCUAAAAACAUGGAAUGCCACUCUGACAACAGGUAUGCAAAAAGGUGUCUAAGACAGAAAAAGACCAUAAGACCCUAAAAUUCAGCCCUGAUCAUGUACACCAAUGGAAGUGACAUUACUUCCAUUUCUGAGGCUGCUGGACCUGCCCUUUCCACCUCACUGACUUCAUGACCAGCAGCAUCAUCAUCUUUCUACAAUCUAAUGACAGACUUACCUCUGGAAAGAUGUUUCUUUCAAUGUUAAACUUAGUUUAUUAUUUUGUUGUUUAAUAUACUGGGCUUGCCGUAGGGUACUCCAAAUUUUUACCUUUGCUUUGUACUUUGUUUCAUUUACAAUAUAUAUGUAUUCAAAUACAGUAUAUAUACUGAAUAUAUGAAUAUAUAUAUAUAUACUGUAUAUAUACUGUGGCAGGCGGCCGGGGCACUUGCCUGACUGGGAUGCCCCUGCCACAUAUGUUCCGGAGGCGCAGGCAUGGGAAACCCAAUACCUCCCCCUGGAUGCUAGAUGGCAGCCUCCCUGGGUUGCAGCGGUGCCUCGGACUCUCCCGGGGCUUAAUGGGGGUUGAAGUGUUGUACAGCCCUGUUGGGUUCUGCAAGCGCCGCAAUGGGGUGCUGCAGCAGGAGCUGCUGAACCCUUCUGGGCACUGGUUUCGCCACACUCGGAAGUGCAGCCGUAUGUCGGCAAUCAAGCACCUGGAGCACUUCUGGGUGCCCAAUAAAAGGAGCCAGCAACCACCACUCAGUGGCCAGAGUUGGGAACAACAACAACAACAACAUUUAUUUAUAUAGCACAUUUUCAUACAAAAAGUAGCUCAAAGUGCUUUACAUAAUGAAGAAAAGAAGAAUAAAAGACAAAUAAGAAAUUAAAAUAAGACAACCUUAGUUAACAUAAAAAGGAGUAAGGUCCGAUGGCCAGGGUGGACAGAAAAAACAAAAAAAAACUCCAGAAAGCUGGAGAAAAAAAUAAAAUCUGUAGGGGUUCCAGGCCACGAGACCGCCCAGUCCCCUUUGGGCAUUCUACCUAACAUAAAUGAAAUAGUCCUCUUUGUAGUUAGGGUUCUCACGG